AAAGUGGAAUAUCCUGGUCACCAAUCCACAUCCUGUAAAACCUGACUUGAGACUCCUCUCCUACAGGAAGGCCUCCAGGAUUACUCUCUUAGCCUCCAGGUGAGCUCAUCGUCAUUGUCAGGGCUUGCACAGUUAGCCUGGAAGUCAUUUUUUCACUUACAGAUAAAAUCCCUUUAGAACUCAUUUUAGAGGCUUCGGUUGUAUGUAUUUCAGCUUUGUAAGCAGAUCGUGUGUUAUAUCAGGUCCAAAACGGUGUCUUCUAUCUCUUCCCUAUUCCCCCAAGCUGAGCUCAUGUCACCUGUCACAUAGGAACCUUUUCCAGUAACCUUGGAAUCCAGGUAAAUGGUGUCAUCGUCCCCUAGCCUGCCAGGCUUGGAACCUGCAAGCCCUGGAAAGCAUCUCAGCCGUCCGGCGUGCUGACAUUUAAUGCACAAAUGGACUUGAGGCCAGCAGCAUAACAGGAUUUCACGCCCUGAAACCUGCACCGAGGUAUCUGUGCCUAACAGCUUCAGAGAGGGGUGGGGGCUGUGAGCUUGGGGUCUGACUUUGGGCAGAGGACCUGGCCGGGAAACGGUGAGUCUCAAAGCCGCCUCUGGUCCUCCCAGGAGUAGGUAUCAGGAGGGGAGCCCCCUGGUCAGGGCACCUGACCUGGCUGCCCUGGCCCACCGAGCUGUCAGGAGGGGCAAAGGGCACCAGUCUGUUGACCUUAGGCCAUGAGCAGGUGAGCCCAGGGAACCGUUUGGCUGAACAAACAGCCUUAGAGACUCUUAGGGUAACUUCCAGGUUUAAGAUGAGUGGCUCUUUGUAAAAUACAGGUAAAUUGGGAGAAAAGACACCAGGCUUGAUUCAGUUACUUUGGUUCAUCCCUGCUUGGGUCAUCCUGGGAUUCCGGCCAGCCGUCUCCACCCUCACAUGGGGCCAUGGGCUCUGGGCUCGGGCAUCUCCUGAUGGCCUUGGCCAGCAAGGGUGGGUGGCCCCCGGUACCUCAACAACCCCAGCGGACGACCAGCAGCUGGCAGAGCAGGGUCACUAGGAGCAGAGCAGGGGCACACGAGCAGUGGGCGUCCUCAGGGCCCUCGGGCAUGUUCCCCUGAACUGGGGCUCUGAGAGUUUUGGCUGAGCCGGGGUGGCCCGCGGGCCCAGACUGUGGCCACAAACAGAAGCAGCCACGCGGGCCCCAGGGUGGUUGGGGUGACUCUGCUCUCCAGCCGUACUCAGCGCCCGGGCCUUCCAUCCUCCUGCAGUUACUGGUAAGAGACCCACUGGGCAGCCCCGGGCAUUGGAAAUCUCCUCCUGGAGGCUGAGCGGGAGGUAGAGAUGGUCCAGGCCUCGAGGCUAGCUCCUGGCCAGCCUCGUCCCCAACCCUUCAUGGCCUGGGGCCUCACAGCCCCUCAGGCUUCUGCACUGGGCCUGCUCCUCCCUGUGUCCAGAAUCUCUCUCCUGUCUCUUGUGAGGACACAAGCUGUAAGGUUGGGGCCCACCCUUAAUCCAGACCCUUCACUUGAUCACAUCUGCCGAGAGCCCUAUGUUCAAAUGAGGUCACAUUCACAGGUACUGGGGACUUGGACUUCACUUUUGGGGGCAUGAUUCCAUCUGCCAGCCUGGUCCUUGAGCUCGCAAUCAUGAACGUCAUGUCCUUUGGUAGAGAUAGACGGGGUUGUCCGGGGACCCAGUCCUGCUCUCCAAGGCUUGUGGUCUUUCUUCCCCUUCUCCUCCUGAACCCAGGGUUAGGGGAGGGGAUAUCUAUCACAUCUUGGUGCCCCCGUCUGUGCCGACUCCUCAAAAAUAGAAACAAAUGCCCAGUUGGCUUCAGGUUACCAUUACAGUCCUACUAUGUACAUGGAGUGAAGGGCCUCACCGGCCUCAGCGAACUGGGUCUAGUCAAAGAACAGAAUCCAUGUGGAGACAUGUCACACGAUGACCCAUGUUCUGCUCAGUGGGGGCUGGCCUUUUAGAGUGUGUUGCACACUGAACAAGUAGACUAAGAAUGCCUCUGUGAGGGAAUAGCUAGAAAAGGUCCAAAGAGCCAAAAUUCUGCAAAGUAGAGCUCGUUUUACUAUUUCAACUACAGUAGAAAUCCUCUUCACAGAGGCUUUUCGGCUGGUUGGUUAAGUGAAAAAGUCCUGAAAACAAGGAAUGCUUUUUAAAAAAAAAUCUAUAGAAAUAAUCUUGUUUGAAUUUCGAACAUGCAAAUGCACACUUUUGAAAGGUGAAAACUUUGUCUUUUUGGGGUAGUGCCGUGGCCUUCUCUUAGAGUAUGGGUCAUUGCCAAGAACUGGGGGUGCCUUUCUGCUGCAAACCACACCUGUGGUCACAGCUGGGAUUUCUGCUUUGGGUCUCCUGAAAGCAGGACGCAUACGAAUAAUAACCAAAUGAGACAGACUCACUGAUAAAGGCACUGGAGAACUUCCAAGGGUUCUGGAAUGUUCUCUAUCCUGAAUCACAUGAUAGUUACACAAGCUAUACAAAUAAGAUUAAUUUUUUGGCUUUUUUUUUACCUUGAUAAGAAAAUUUUAAAAAUACAAAAAAUUGAGAACAAAAGAGGUAAGGUAAUCUUAGUAUGUGUUCUACAUUUUUAUGAUUUUCCCUAUUUUCUUUUAUUUUUAAAGAUUUUCUUUAAAAAAUAUUUUACUUAUUAUUUGAGAGAGAGUACAAACAGGGGAGCAGCAAGCAGAGGCAGAGGGAGAAGCAGACUCGGCUGAGUAGGGAGGCCGAUGUGGGGGCUUGAUCCCAGGACCCCGGGGUCACGACCUGAGCCAAAGGCAGAUGACUUUCCCUACUUUCUACAAGUGUCCUGUCCACGGCUCACAUAAUGGCAACUUUCUUAAGGCAAGCUCAUUAUGGAAUCUUUCUAGUCAUUCAACUCAGUUUUCAUAGACACAGAAUCCUUUCUUUUUCAUUGCAACGGCCACAGUUGAUGUAUUGUGUAAUCAAAUUGCACACUGUGAUAAGUUUUAGGAACAAACACGAUGGGCCCUCGGGAGGCGUGUCAGGAAAGAGGAAGGACAUGCGGGCCAGGGCCCUGGCACCCAGUAGUCCCCGUGCCCUCUGGCCGAACAUGAGCUGCCCAGGGAGGCCUGCUGACUAGCCAGUUAUCCACCCCUACUGUUAUCUCCCUUCUGUAAAUGUGCAUGUGAUGUUACCCUAAGUCUGCAGGACAGCUUUUGUGGAAGGCACUGGGUCUCCCUCGUGAACCCACCGAGUGUUGGCCCAGAAUUCAGGGGUUGUCUUCCCCGAUCUGGCUUUCCUGGGACACAGUGAUACAGCCUCUGCUGAAUCAGUUCAUUUUUGCCUCAGUUUACCCCCGACAGGUGGGAAUAUGAGCCCUGCCCUACCACAAACGACUGUAGGGAGUCACUGGGGGAGAGACAGACCCCACCCAGGGGUGCCUGGCCUGAGGGGUGGCCCUUGGGGAAACCAUGUUGGCAUGUCCACACAGGCAGGACCAGGGAUUAAAGCAGAAACAGCCUUCGUUUCCCCUCCUUGCUGCCACGGCUGCCUCACUACGUGGGCUCCUCUGGGACCUAGCUUCAAGUCCCCCUGUGGCCAGCCUGGGACACACAGAGUGAACUUGGUACUGAGCACUGCUUGCUCCCCUCCCAGACCCUGGCCCACAGGUGGCCCUAAGGGGACGUUGUCUGGGUGCUCAGCCAGGCUCUCAUCAUAGGGUGAUGCAUGGGAGUGCAGCCAGGGCAUUAGAUCCCAUUAGGCACCGAGCCAUGGGGACGUCCUCACCUCGGCUACCUCCAAAUGUGCCCUAAUUUGGACAGAGGAUCUUUGCAGGCACGUGCUUAAGAUGACGUGCAACGGAUUACAAGGGCUGUGCUCAUGUGCAAGGGAGGUUUGGAUGUCUGCGCAGCGGCGGGAGAGGCCUCAGGGGGAGCCGGCCCUGCCUGCACCCUGACCCCAGACUUCAGGCUUCAGACCGUGCGGAAGUAAGUUUCUGUCUGUCCCCCCCAGGGUGGCGUAUCGGUGAGGGCAGCCCUGCCAAUGUACCUGCUGAACACACACCACACAGCACACAUCUCUUGGCCACAGGUGGUCACUUCACCUGUGACUACGAACCACAGGGCCAGGUAUCAAAGAUGGCUUUUAUUUAUUUUUAUUUAUUUAUUUAUUUAUUUAUUUAUUUAAAGAUUUCAUUUAUCUAUUCAUGAGAGACACACAGAGAGAGGCAGAGGGAGAAGCAGGCUCUAUGCAGGGAGCCCCAUGUGGGACUCGAUCCCAGGACUCUAGAUCACACCCCGGGCCAAAGGCAGACACUUAAGGGCAGAGCCACCCAGGGAUCCCCAAAGAAGGCUGUUGAAACGCGAGUGUACUUUGAGAGGAUGCAGCCCCGUGAGCAUCUGUGGCUGAUAAUUUGGUGUGGGAGACAGCAUAGCCCAGCAGCUGAGACCCUGGAGCAUGAGGCCAGUUAGGUCCCAGCUCUGCCUGUUCCCAUACGUGUGGCCAAGAGCAAGUGCCAUCACCUGCUCUGCUGCCCCUGUAAAUGGGAGGUAAUAAGCUGUACUCACCUCAUGGCAUUACACAAGGAUCAAGUGAGUUAAUAUUUGCAAAGGGCUCAGCGCAGAGCCUGGGAAAUGGAAAGCCCGAUGUGUUUGCUGUUCUCUCCGUCAUCUGAGAGGCCGGGGUGGCAGGUGACUGGGAACACAGUGUGGUGGUGUGGGCAGCGGGGGCCAAGCCACCAUCCUGAGCGUGCCAGGACCUCUUUGCACUCUCAGCAGUGUUGAGGACACAAGGGACAGUUGUUCCUGGGGAUUACACCUGUUGAUAUUUUUUCCCCAUUAGAAAUGACUGAUUAGAACUCUCCUGUACUGGAAAAUAAAACCGAGAACAUGUAACAAUAUUUAGUAAUUCAUUUAAAAAUAAUGAUAUUAUUAUUCAUUUAAAAAUAAGGAUGAUAUGUCCUUUCUGUUUUCAUGUGAACAUUUUACGGGAAAUAGCUAUAUUUACAUUUCUGUAAAGCUCUUUCAAUCUCCUGAGCUCGGGACCCCACGUCCUCAGCCCGCUGCCUUUCACCCCCAGGCCAACCUAACUGCACACCUGCACCUCUGGCCAGGUCUCCCAAGGGCCCUGGCAGUGGAGGCAGAGACACCUGCCUCCUUCCUAUGCCCCGUUCACCCAUGCGUCCGGCCUUGGGUCCUGCACCCGGUGCUGGGUCCUGCACCCGGUGCCCGUGGCCGAAGACUAAACGCUGGAGAGACUUUAUUGCCUCAUCACCCCUAGACACAGUCCAGCCAUCUGAGAACACCAGGACCUCACCCUGGUCAGUCCUUUGGUGGCCAGGAGAUGUCCCUGUCGUGUCCCUGCCAAUGCAGGGCCAGAGGCCAUGGGAGCCACGGAAUUCAGAUCCUUGAGUGCAGCACAGCUCACCCCAGGGCCUGCCGCGGCGCCCAGAGCAUCAGCCGGGCUGCUCUGAAGAAACAGAGCUCAGAGGAGAUUUAAACAUAGACACGUGCACGGUGGAGUGUGGGCUCAUGUGGCGGCGGAGGCUGGCAAGUCCCAGGAGUUGCACUGUGCAGGCAGCCCAGGUGGCUCAGCGGUUUAACACAGCCUUCAGCCCGGGGUGUGUUCCUAGAGUCUCGGGAUCGAGUCCCAUGUCGGGCUCCCUGCAGGGAGCCUGCUUCUCCCUCUGCCUGUGUCUCUGCCUCUCUCUCUGUGUUUCUCAUGAAUAAAUAAAUAAAAUCUUUAAAAAAAUAAAAAAGGAGCUGCACUGUGCAAGCUGAGAGCCAGGGGAACCACGGGGUAAGAUGUCCCAGGCCGACGUCCCAGUUCGGAAACAGGCAGAGAGCAGAUGCUCCCCCACCCGCUCUGUUCCAUCCACACCUCCCGCUGAUCGGUGAGGCCCACCUGCCCCAGGGGGAGGGCAACCUGCUUUUCUCAGUGUGCAGAUUCAGACGCUCAUCUCAUCCUGAAACACCCUUGUGGAGGACACCCGGAGCACUGUCUGACCAAACAUCUGGGCACCUGAGGUUUGGCCACGUGAUGCGUGAAGGUGACCGCCACACCUGCUGAAGGCUGUCCAGGUGCUGCCAUUCAUUGACCUGAGGCAAACGGCCUGUGCCGUCCUUCUGACUACAUGACGAUGGAGCCAUCAAGGUCAGGGUGAGGGACCUGGACACCACGCAGGGCAGCACAGCCCAGGAGGAGCCUCAUCCCAGGUCACCCUGGGUCAUCCUGGGUCACCCCAGAGUCCUUCUGGCCCAUGAUACCCAUUUGCUUCUCCAGAAGCCUUGAUUACAGGCUGGAAGUGUGAAUACAGUCUAAGCAGAUACCAGUGUCAGUGGAGAUAAACAUCAAGCUUUAUUGACUUAAGAGGUAAAUAUUGAUGGAACUUAAAUACCAAAUCAAUAUUUACCUCAAGGGACAAUACAGCCUGAAAUUGAAGUUGGGCCAUGUGUGCUCUUCCAGCACUUUAACUGCAGACUCCCGACGUCUUCAUCAGGAGCGAUGUGGUGAGAGAUUCCUCGAGGCACCAGCAGUGAGGGCUGGCCGUGGUGGCCGUGGGUCCCCACUCACCAGAAAGCCUAAGAGUCAGAAUUCGAAACCUGCACCACCCAUGCAGAGCAAACCAGGAAACUCAUGGCUUAGGCUUUUCGCUGAGAGUCCACCUGAGGGAAGGUAGAAGCUAGAACGGCACCGAGGCUGCACCUGCCAGCCAGGGCCGGCCGGCGACAGCUGGCUGCAUGUGCUGUGCACCGCGAGGCGAGCAAGGCGCUGCCCCAGGCCUGGGCACGUGUGGCUCUCUCGGUGGCCUGGUGCGCUGGGGGGUCUGAGAUGCUGCCACGUGUCACACCUGCCCCUCACCCCGGCUCCUCAGCCACAGUGAAGCAGCGUCAGCUGGGAUCACAGCAGUGCUGAUGUCCGCUCAGAAAGAGAAGCUGUGGACGGCGUAGGGGCUUGAGAAGGGAUGCUCGGGAAAGAGAUCUAAACUGAAUCUGUGGUCCCGUGCACAAAGUCCCCACUGUGACGGGGAAGAGGCUGAUGCUGGCAGGGCUGGGCCCCUCACCCCCUCGCGGAGCCCCCGAGGGUGUCACCGCCAGCCCCGCUCCACCCCCACCUGCCUGGGGCAGACCCAAGCCCAAAGCUCCGAGCCCCAGGGCACCACUCUCAAGGCCACACAUGGUUUCUGGCUGUAGGUCCAGCACAUCGGCCACCACAGGGGCUGCAUUAGUUGGCCUAGGACGGCCCCAGGAUGCUGCAGGCACCCCCCCCUGCUGUGAGCCUGCUCCCAUAGGUGCACCUCCUGGAGCCCUUACAGUGUCAGUGAGGCCCCAGUACACAGGGGGUGCUCUCUGACCCAAGACUGCGCCUGCCAUCUUGACAGAUGUGGCCUUGCCCCAGAGGCCACACCAUGCACAUUUCUGGUUCGCCCAUGACUGGGUCACAUCCCAAGUCUCCAGGCACGCUCCGAGCUCUCCAACGUCUGUGUGCAGCAGGUGCCCUCAGAGCUGCCGCAUUCGGGCCCAGGACCUCCACCUACUGGGUCAGCAUUGCCAGUGUGCAGCCUGGCCUUGGUAUUGCUCACGUCGCCAUGUGUCGGGCUCCCAGACAGGAGGCCUCCCAAAGCUUCAGGCGGCCCGCCUCCCGGUCUGGGACUUCGGCCAGCUGUGCUGGGCUUCCGUGUCCCCGAGACUCUCACUUCCCCUCCAUUCUUUUUUAAAAAAAAAGGGGGUCCAGGGGCGCCUGGGUGGGUCCAUCGGUUGAGUGUCUGACUCUUUUUUAUUUUUAUUUUUAUUUUAUUUUAUUUUAUUUUAUUUUUUUGAGUGUCUGACUCUUGAUCUCAACUCAGGUCGUGAUCUCAGGACCAUGAGUUCAAUCCCCAUGCUGGACUCCUGGUUGGUUAUAGAGCCUACUCAAAAAAAUAAAUACAUAAAAAUUAAAAAAAAAGAGUCUGUGUCACAAAGGAAUAAAUCCCAUCAUACAAAGAUGCACACAGUACAGGUACACCUAGGAUAAAGUGAAUCCUUCCUCCUCUGCUCCCCUCCUGGAAGUCAGCCUCAUAUGGCCAUGGCCUACCAUGGCCAAUUUGUUGUGAGGAGGACGCAUGCAUGCAGAAAUACAGCUGAACAAAUGGUUAUUACAGUUUCUUCAACUUUACAUAAAAGGCUUGUGCUACGCACGCUGACCUAUGACUUGUCUGUUGAAUGGGACAAGACAACAUGGGUAAAACAGACCAACUGGGAUCUCGCCCACGGCUGGACAGGGUCAGUGGCUGCAGCUCUGAAGCUUGGUCUCAGAACCCCCACGCACUCUUAAAAAUCACGGAGGACCCCAGAGAGUUUUCAUUGAGCUGGAUUACAUCUGCUGACAUUUACCACAGCAGAAAUUAAAACCAAGAAAUUAAGAUAAACGAACUCAUUUUAAAAUAAAAAUAAACCCAUCACAGGUUAAUAUAUGUAACAUGUUUGUACGAAAAAUAACUAUUCCCAAACAGAGGCUUUUAUCAAGAAGACUGGCACUGCCUUAUACGGCGGUGGACGGCUGGAUCCUCCUGUCUGCAUCUGCCUGCUGCCCGCGGCAAUAUCCUGUAGCCACUGGAAAUGAGGCAGAAAAGGGGAAAUACCGUGUUCCUGUUAUGAAAAUAGCUUUGAGCUCCUGGCCCCCCCCGCCCCGGGAGAACCUCGAAGCCCCGGACCUCGCCGCCGCGAUGGCUUUCUGCAUAAGAAUGUCACGCGUGUUCCUAAGUAUCUGUCUCUGUCGCUGAGCGUCACCGACUGAUUUCGGAGCUCCCACCACGACCCGGACAUUCCACAGAGUUGGGGAACAGCCAGACUCCAAGGUGGCAUCCAGAGAUUCUCAUCCCUUGGUCUCCUGCCUCUUGGGUGGGUUCCUGUCACAUCAACCAGAGCUGGUCUCCUCAAGCAAUGGAAGAGAUGGCAGAGAUGAUGGUAUAUGACUCUAAGUCUAGGUUAUAGAAGUCAUUGCAGCUUCUGCUCCGGGCUCUGGAUUGCUCGUUCUGGGAAAAGUGAGAUGCCAUGUUGGUGAGGACACUCAAGUCAAGCUAUGGAGAGGCCUCUGUGGAGAGGACCCACCUGGCCAGCCACGUGAGGGAGCCAUGUUGGGCGUGGAUCCUCCUGGCCCAGCUGAACCUUCAGACCAGCCCUCGGCCCCAGGCGGUCCCCUGAGCAGACAAGCAUCCAUCUGUCAAUCCUCCCCUGAACAUUUGACCCUCAGAAACUAUAAGACACAAAAUAUAGCUACUGCUUUUUCCAACCACCAAAUUUGGGGUGACUUGUUACAUAGCA
Long non-coding RNA from Nyctereutes procyonoides (raccoon dog), 9248 nucleotides. RefSeq lists it as uncharacterized. The transcript is spliced from 3 exons. Lineage: Eukaryota; Metazoa; Chordata; Mammalia; Carnivora; Canidae. The record is from RefSeq and is a predicted model, not a curated record.